Molecule: ribosomal RNA, 868 nt
Filed under: Salmonella enterica
Lineage: Bacteria; Pseudomonadati; Pseudomonadota; Gammaproteobacteria; Enterobacterales; Enterobacteriaceae
Description: partial 23S ribosomal RNA
Rfam family: Bacterial large subunit ribosomal RNA
Source: RNAcentral
AGACCCGAAACCCGGUGAUCUAGCCAUGGGCAGGUUGAAGGUUGGGUAACACUAACUGGAGGACCGAACCGACUAAUGUUGAAAAAUUAGCGGAUGACCUGUGGCUGGGGGUGAAAGGCCAAUCAAACCGGGAGAUAGCUGGUUCUCCCCGAAAGCUAUUUAGGUAGCGCCUCGUGAAUUCAUCUCCGGGGGUAGAGCACUGUUUCGGCCAGGGGGCCAUCCCGGCUUACCAAUCCGAUGCAAACUGCGAAUACCGGAGAAUGUUAUCACGGGAGACACACGGCGGGUGCUAACGUCCGUCGUGAAGAGGGAAACAACCCAGACCGCCAGCUAAGGUCCCAAAGUCAUGGUUAAGUGGGAAACGAUGUGGGAAGGCCCAGACAGCCAGGAUGUUGGCUUAGAAGCAGCCAUCAUUUAAAGAAAGCGUAAUAGCUCACUGGUCGAGUCGGCCUGCGCGGAAGAUGUAACGGGGCUAAACCAUGCACCGAAGCUGCGGCAGCGACACUGAUGUGUUGUUGGGUAGGGGAGCGUUCUGUAAGCCGUUGAAGGUGGCCUGUGAGGGUUGCUGGAGGUAUCAGAAGUGCGAAUGCUGACAUAAGUAACGAUAAAGCGGGUGAAAAGCCCGCUCGCCGGAAGACCAAGGGUUCCUGUCCAACGUUAAUCGGGGCAGGGUGAGUCGACCCCUAAGGCGAGGCCGAAAGGCGUAGUCGAUGGGAAACGGGUUAAUAUUCCCGUACUUGGUGUUACUGCGAAGGGGGGACGGAGAAGGCUAUGUUGGCCGGGCGACGGUUGUCCCGGUUUAAGCGUGUAGGUGUGUGUUCCAGGUAAAUCCGGUUCACUUUAACACUGAGGCGUGACGACGAGGCAC